UUUGAAUUUUGGAGCGAAGAACAGAACCUCACGGAGCUCCCUGCUGCAGUGACGGGAGAGGCUGCUUCCUGAGCCCUCGGAGCCACAGUGGGCUGGAGCACCAGCAGCCACUGGAGCGAGGAGGGAAAUGUUCCUGCUGCUGUCAGAGACGCCGUGUUCUCACCUCACCAGCCCACUUCCUACACCUUCAAAAGUCUGCUUUGCUCGCUGACACGUCGAGGAACACGACUGGGCGGAAAGCUGGAAGGACCUCCACCUCCCAGGGGCCGCACCUUCAGCCCAGGGGUGGCACCGGGCUGGGCAUCACGAUCACCCCUCUGUCACCCACUCCCACCAUCUGGUCCAAGGGACACUUCUGCACAAGCCUCAGGCCACAGCACUGCCAAGCAAGGGCGAAUGCAGCCUCCUGGUCCUGGACAGCAGGCAGGUCAAGGCCACUGCCGUCGUCAUCCCAAGCCUCAUAGGAAACACGGACUGGGGGCGUGGAGGGUGGUGUUCAGUUCAGUACAAAGUAAGAAAAAGCACAGAAUGUAGACUCCAGCCAGGCCGAGUGACUCCAGGCACUGUGCUUAACAAGAAACACUGUUGCAGGCAAGCCACCCGGAGGAGGGCCAUGUGACAUGCAGACAAGCCACUGUCCCAAAUGGAAAAGGCCCAGGAGGUCACAGGGAGACACCGACUCAUUCUACGCCACUGCAGAAGACAGGACGGGCAGGGUGUCACAGUUGGGAGCUGAGCUGCUGUGAAGGGAGCCUCCCAGUAGACAGGACACCUGGUCCCCUCAUGCAGCUCUGGGCAGUAUGGACACCUCUCAUCGAUGAAAUGGGAUCCGCCUCCUUUCUGAUCAUGCUGGCCUGUCUUCCUGACUGCCUCCAUGCCGGACUCUGUGCCUCUGGAAUCCUAAGUCAAAAUAAACCCUUU
Molecule: long non-coding RNA, 921 nt
Organism: Nannospalax galili (Upper Galilee mountains blind mole rat)
Lineage: Eukaryota; Metazoa; Chordata; Mammalia; Rodentia; Spalacidae
Exons: 3
Source: RefSeq, a predicted model, not a curated record